RNAcentral lists this ribosomal RNA (468 nucleotides) under uncultured bacterium. RNAcentral describes it as "partial 16S ribosomal RNA". It matches the Rfam family "Bacterial small subunit ribosomal RNA", at positions 28 to 507 of the family's 1533-position model. The record is from RNAcentral.
GACGAACGCUGGCGGCGUGCUUAACACAUGCAAGUCGAACGGAAAGGCCCUGCUUUUGUGGGGUGCUCGAGUGGCGAACGGGUGAGUAACACGUGAGUAACCUGCCCUUGACUUUGGGAUAACUUCAGGAAACUGGGGCUAAUACCGGAUAGGAGCUCCUGCUGCAUGGUGGGGGUUGGAAAGUUUCGGCGGUUGGGGAUGGACUCGCGGCUUAUCAGCUUGUUGGUGGGGUAGUGGCUUACCAAGGCUUUGACGGGUAGCCGGCCUGAGAGGGUGACCGGCCACAUUGGGACUGAGAUACGGCCCAGACUCCUACGGGAGGCAGCAGUGGGGAAUAUUGCACAAUGGGCGGAAGCCUGAUGCAGCAACGCCGCGUGCGGGAUAACGGCCUUCGGGUUGUAAACCGCUUUCGCCUGUGACGAAGCGUGAGUGACGGUAAUGAGUAAAGAAGCACCGGCUAACUACGUG